RNAcentral lists this transfer RNA (69 nucleotides) under Brookesia peyrierasi. Its description in RNAcentral is "partial tRNA-Trp". The record is from RNAcentral. Lineage: Eukaryota; Metazoa; Chordata; Lepidosauria; Squamata; Chamaeleonidae.
AGAAACUUAGGAUUAAUACAAACCCAUGGCCUUCAAAGCUAUUAAAAAGAGGAAAAGCUCUUAGUUUCU